GAUGAACGCUGGCGGCGUGCUUAACACAUGCAAGUCGAACGGAGCCUAUCGAGUGCUUGCACUUGAGAAAGCUUAGUGGCGGACGGGUGAGUAACGCGUGGGUAACCUGCCCUGUACCGGGGGAUAACAGUCGGAAACGACUGCUAAUACCGCAUAAGCCCACAUGACCGCAUGGUCAAGGGGGAAAAACUCCGGUGGUACAGGAUGGACCCGCGUCUGAUUAGCUAGUUGGUGAGGUAACGGCCCACCAAGGCGACGAUCAGUAGCCGGCCUGAGAGGGUGAACGGCCACAUUGGGACUGAGACACGGCCCAAACUCC
RNAcentral lists this ribosomal RNA (319 nucleotides) under uncultured Coprococcus sp. RNAcentral's name for it is "bacterial SSU rRNA". It matches the Rfam family "Bacterial small subunit ribosomal RNA", at positions 28 to 339 of the family's 1533-position model. The record is from RNAcentral. Lineage: Bacteria; Bacillati; Bacillota; Clostridia; Lachnospirales; Lachnospiraceae.